Molecule: transfer RNA, 84 nt
Filed under: Chloroflexota bacterium
Lineage: Bacteria; Bacillati; Chloroflexota
Description: Chloroflexi bacterium (groundwater metagenome) tRNA-Leu
Rfam family: tRNA
About the family: Transfer RNA (tRNA) molecules are approximately 80 nucleotides in length. Their secondary structure includes four short double-helical elements and three loops (D, anti-codon, and T loops).
Source: RNAcentral
GGGGAAGUGGCGGAACGGCAGACGCGCAAGGCUUAGGACCUUGUGCCGCAAGGCGUAGGAGUUCAAAUCUCCUCUUCCCCACCA